AAAUUUAAUAUUGUUUUUUGAUUAUGUUCUUUUUGAAUUUUAUAUAUUUGAAUAGUAUAUGGAAGUACAUAAAAUUAAAAAAGGAUAGUUGAAUAUACAGUAUAUGCCAAAAUAUACAGUACUGAAAUGAAAAGACAAACAAUAUUACCUUGUUGUCAUCUCCUAGUUUAUUCUCUCAAAACUAACAUACGUACUAUUAGUGUAUUCAUUUAUCGCAGUAUGUGUAAUGUAAGUGUUCGAAGUGUACACUGCCUCACUGUAGGCAGUGUUCAUAUCAUUUAUGCAGAUUCUCAAACAUAUCCCAGAACAGAGGUUGCUGCAGAUUCUUGUAAAAGAUGUUGAUUUGUUCAUGUAAUGCAGGCAAAGUUGUUGACAAAUCUUCACAGUUGAAUACAUUUUCCUUUAAUAUUCCCAUAAGUAGGCAUCAGGUGGUAUAAAAUUGGGAGAAUGGGAUGGCUAUGAGAAGUCAGUACCACAUGAAAUGAUUUGUCCUGGAAAGUUUUCCUACAGAAUGGCUAGAGAUUCUUGAGUUGUAUGGCUGGUUGCCCUGUCCUGUUGAUACC
This 563-nucleotide long non-coding RNA is filed under the name Androctonus crassicauda. Lineage: Eukaryota; Metazoa; Arthropoda; Arachnida; Scorpiones; Buthidae. The record is from RNAcentral.